AGUUAGAAGUCAACCCCCGUACCCGACUUGUUGCAUUCCCCUAGGGUCAUACUUUCAUCACUUCCAUACUCUUUUAAUCACAUUUUUCUUAUAUUUCGCAAUCCAUAUUUUUCACUACAUCUUUAUCAUUUAUUUACUUUACUUCACAAAUGAAAUUCAAGUUUCACUUAUAUAUGUACUACUCUAUCUUCAUUCAUUUGCACACACAAACACUUUGAUUUUCAUACAAAUUCACACAUGCA
Molecule: long non-coding RNA, 242 nt
Filed under: Coffea arabica (coffee)
Lineage: Eukaryota; Viridiplantae; Streptophyta; Magnoliopsida; Gentianales; Rubiaceae
Description: long non-coding RNA (CARA_LNC001228)
Source: RNAcentral